RNAcentral lists this ribosomal RNA (253 nucleotides) under uncultured bacterium. RNAcentral's name for it is "partial 16S ribosomal RNA". It matches the Rfam family "Bacterial small subunit ribosomal RNA", at positions 524 to 776 of the family's 1533-position model. The record is from RNAcentral.
UACGUAGGGGGCAAGCGUUGUUCGGAAUUACUGGGCGUAAAGGGCGCGUAGGCGGCACGGCAAGUCGGGAGUGAAAGCCCGGGGCUCAACCCCGGAACGUCUUUCGAAACUGCCGAGCUAGAGUGCGGAAGGGGCAACUGGAAUUCCCAGUAUAGCGGUGAAAUGCGUAGAUAUUGGGAAGAACACCUGAGGCGAAGGCGGGUUGCUGGGCCGACACUGACGCUGAGGCGCGAAAGCCAGGGGAGCGAACGGG